AGCGAACGUUUGCGGCGGGCCUAACACAUGCAAGUCGAACGCACUAGCAAUAGUGAGUGGCGCACGGGUGCGUAACACGUGGGUAAUCAACCCUUCAGCCUGGGAUAACGACUCGAAAGGGUCGCUAAUACCGGAUACGGCGCGAGAGGCUUCGGCUUCUCACGAGAAAGCCACGCAAGGGGCACUGAAGGACGAGCCUGCGGCCCAUCAGCUAGUUGGUGAGGUAAGAGCUCACCAAGGCUAAGACGGGUAGCUGGUCUGAGAGGAUGAUCAGCCACACUGGAACUGAGACACGGUCCAGACUCCUACGGGAGGCAGCAGUGGGGAAUAUUGCGCAAUGGGCGAAAGCCUGACGCAGCCACGCCGCGUGAGCGAUGAAGGCCUUGGUCGUAAGACUCUGUGGGAGAGACGAAGAAAGACCUAGUGAAGAGCAGGCCUUGACGGUAUCUCCUUAGCAAGCACCGGCUAACUACCGU
RNAcentral lists this ribosomal RNA (476 nucleotides) under uncultured bacterium. RNAcentral's name for it is "bacterial SSU rRNA". It matches the Rfam family "Bacterial small subunit ribosomal RNA", at positions 29 to 507 of the family's 1533-position model. The record is from RNAcentral.